UGAAGGUAUAUAUGAUGCCCCCCCACGGGGGCCUCACAGCGUAUCCACGAUAGGGGGACCAGCCCGCGCCGUUCGAUCUUGGAGGCAGCGCCCGCGUCGAUCCGGACCGCCCGUCUUCGGAACAAAACCGAAACCGACGAAACCUAGCCCGAAGGCCCAAUCCCCUCGCUUCCUCCUCCCCAAUCGACUGGCCUCCUCCUCCCCCAAUCGCACCUCGUCCAGUUGCCGCCGCCGCCCCCACGUCGAUCCCAACCGCGCCUCCGCCCGUCGCCGCUGCCGACGACGAAGGUCCCAGACCGCGCCCCAUCCCCGUCGUUUGUGCCUCGUGGUCUUCUCCAUCGAGACAGCAAGCCGCCUCUCUCCCAAUCCCCGCACGCGGCUGUCUCCCCAAUCCCCUCCCUCCUGGAUGGGAAUAGGCGAAGCCGCACCGCGUCGCAAGAGGGAGCCUGGAGCGGCGAAAUCAGCUACGUCGACGAAUCGAGCGUGGCCGCAUCUCGUGUGGUCUUCCUCUUACGUCCCAGUCUGAAUCUCCUCAUGAACACGUGAGGGAGGUGAUACUGACUCGAGCGCCGCCGCAGUUCCCUUCCCUGGAAGCCUACAGCUCCACGGGUCCUGCUCGAUGGUCGUGCUUGUCGCGUGCCCGUGGGCUGGGCGCCUGAAGCAGGGCAAGGCAGAGCAUGCGCUGGCCUAUGAACUUUGCUAUUUUUCAGGUAUCAGGAAAUGGAAUCACCUGAUGUUUGCAAGCCAUGCCCGACAUAACUGGUCGAUAUGAGAUGUUGCUCAAGGAGAAUAAUAUUUGAUCAAUGAAGCUAACAUACACAUGAGUCAAAGGAUUCAGUUCAUGCCUCUUAGUGUUGUUGUUUCAUUUAUGCUAGCUUCAUUAACAUGCAGCUAGAACAACAACAGAGAUACAAGCAUGAUGAAGACACUCGAGAGACCUGCAAUAACUCUCUUAUGUCUCCUCCGGCGCCCCAUACAUGCAGCUAGAACAACAACAGAGACACAAGCAUGAUGAAGACACUCGAGAGACCUGCAAUAAGUGGAGACGAGAUAAUGGUAGUAUGAUUCAGAUUUGAGGAAACACCGUGUGACUUGCUUCUCUUCAGUGGAUGUUUACGCAAGAUAAUCUCUGCGAAAACUUGAAUUUUUUUAUGGUUUGAGUUAAUUGAUGGUAGAUUGCUAUUGUUUGUACAUAUGUUUGUUAUGCACUUACCGUUUACUCAUGAUAUAGUUUUAACUCAAGCAUGGUUAAUAUAGUGUUCGGAGAAGAUGAGAAAGGAUCAUUUCUCUUAAAUGUUUCACCAAGGUACAUGGGUGCAACUUUGUUGUAUUGAACAUGAUUCAUUUGCAUUGGUUUAGCUUUGGGUGAUGCAAGCCCUAAUCAUAUUUACAUUUCCUUUCCGUUGUCGCUUUUAAAGACCAUGUUGCGAUGGCCGACAAUGCAUUGCCUAUGUAGAUGAUAAUUUUAGCGUUCCUUGUCUCGGCAAAAUCAACAACUGUUAAUUUCUAUAUUAUAUAUAUUCCUCUGGUUAUUUACUGUGGUUUGUGAUGAUUUGUAAAACGUAAAAAUUAUUAGCAUUUCCCUAUCUAUACAUGGGUCUUACGGGAUCAUGUGCCAAGGCGCACCCAAUAUGUAUUUUUUUUUCUUUAGGUAGCGGCUUUUGAAGAGAACAGAAGUCUAUGGACUGAGCUAACAUACAUAUGAGUCAAAGGAUUCAGUUCAUGCCUCUUACUGUUGGUUUUUCAUUUAUGUUGGCUUUAUUAACGAGAAUCAGUAAUGUAUUAUUUUCAUCAUCUUCUGUACAAUAGAUGUUGAUGAUUCAUCUUCAGAUAUAUGUUCGUUUUUGGGACCAGAGUACCAAUUCAAUAGGCUGCUAGAUGGACUGGAAACCAGAUAUGUUUUCUCUGCAAUUUCAGGUCCAUUGCGUGCCUAAUGCUAUCUCCUUGUGGACCCAGGCAGGGAAAUAUCCUAGGAUGCAUCUUGCUGAAUUUAUCAAUUUUAUUCUAUUUGAAAACGUGGUAUGCUUCACCAAGCCUUCGACAUGUCAAAAAUACUCUGCUAUUUUGAUCAUACUUGCUAUUUUGAUUCAUCUGGGGUAGCUAUGAUCUAUUAUUAGUAUAUCCUGGUAUAUGUGCUCCCCUUUAGGUUAUGCUUGACAAUUAUGCAUCAUAUCAAUUUAUGUUAUCUCAGAUGUUGGAUUUUAUAAAUAGCGCUCUUAAUAGCCUUUGUGGAUGCCUGUCACCUAAUGUUUCUAACUAUUAGCGGUAAGGGUUAUUGCAUUUUUCUUAAGUUGGCCUUCAUAGUAAUAUGAUUUCUCCAUUAACAGAAAAAUAUAGGUAAUACUGCUGACCUCAAAAUAGAAAUUAGCUUUCCUAGGUACUUUAUCUUUCAACCUUUCCACUUGGUAGGAAUAUUUUGUUCAGGUUCAGAGAUGGUUCUUCAUUCUUGGCUUGGGUUGAACUUGCUCUUUGUUAUUAGGCUGCUUCUUUUAGGGUUAAUGUGUGAGUUCCUCUUUUCAAUUUAGUACAUCCACCCUGUGUGUAAAUGUUUUAUUUAUUUGUUGUAUGUCCUCUUCCUUUAACUCAUCUCUAGCAUGAAGAGCUUGCUCACCACUAUUGCUUCCAGUCAGGAUGGGAUGAUGUUGUUUAGGAGGUGUUCAUAGUACCAGGUCUCCAUAGACAUGACCGUUUCAGAAUAGGAACAAGGUAAUAACACUCCUGAUUGAGAAUCUCAUGGCGUGUCUAUUGUUUCUGGAUUACACCUUCCCAUGUGCUGUGACUAUUGUUCCCUUGAUUGACAAUCUCAUGCAACACUUCAGAGAUUGUUAGUUAAAUUUGUAUGCAAAUAUGCAAUCUUAUACUAUCACACGCACUUUAGUUUAAAAUGCUUAACAUAGAUAUCGAACUGCAUUUUUGUAUUAUUUUUAGUUGUUGUACUAUUAUUCCUCCUAUUUUGUCAGCCCAGAAAGAUAAAGGGAAGUUUCUGCUGCACAAAGAUUCAUAAAUGGGAUACAUAAUAGAUCAUCUCUUACGUAUCUGAUUAUCUAUGUCCAGGAUGCAGUCUAGGUGUUUGAAAACUGAAGUGAAACCUGCUAUGUAAGGACAUUGUUCGUAUUUUGCAAUGCAACUAUUCCAGAUGCUUUAGAUUUCAGAGCAUUUGGGUUGUUAUGCAUGUAUGAAUGUUUUCUCUUUAUGUUGUGCAUUUGAACUGUGGUAGUUUGGAGUGUGCUCGUUUAUUUACCUGCAUGCUUCUUUUGCUUGUAUCAACACCCAUUUGUUCUAAUUAUAUUUUGUUGUGCUUUCUACUGCUUUUAGUGCAGUUUAAUUCAUAGAAAGUAAGCACAGUUAAGCAUGUUAACCUCUUCUUUUUCUUAGAUGCAUCUUACAUCACUACAAAAUAUGAUAUGGUGUCGAGUGUUGCUCUGUUCUUUCAUUCUGUCAAUUGUGGUAUAUUGCAAAGCUACUCGUUCUUUGGCGUAGCUCCUGAGAUGAGACUUGUUCUUCAGUUUCUCAAGAUGUUUGUGAGCACCCAGCUCCGAUGCCUCAUUUAGCUUUCAUGUCAUCCUAUGUUAUGGUGGUUAAACCUGUAGUUGGUCAUUUUGACAGUCAAUGUAAAAUGAGCCAACCCGACCGUAGAGCCUAAGCAAAAAAACAAAGGCUGACUGACGUUUGCCCAUGGAAAUAGUGGAUUAGUUCGUAUCCCUUCAAGAAUCAAUAGUUGUGAUACCUUGAAGAAUAAUGAAGAAAUUAUGCUGUGUACGAUUAGUGAAAGGUAAUUCUCAUAGACAUAGGCCCUUUUAAUUGUUCAUCAUAUUCCUCUGAUAUAUUAUCCAUGUUUUUGAGAUUAUGUUUCCUAAACAGUUGUCUUUCCUUUCCAUGUGGCUUAGCUACAAGUGUUUAGUAUUGAAGCACCUCUUUCUUUGUUGUCUUUUUUUUUCUUAACUGUAUCCUGCUCAUAUCCUGGAAAUAUUUGGAGUAAACUUAGGUAUAGAAAACGUUAGUUUAUAUUUAGGAUGGUGCACUUCUCAAAAUAAAAUCAAUAUUCUUUACUUAGUGGCUGCGUUGCCAAAAUGUGGUCAUGUGUACUCAAUACUACUGUGAUAGUAGGCUGAUACGCAUAAAGUUUUUAGAUGCAGCAUUAGAGCUUAUUCCGUUUACAUUGGUUUCUAUUUCUAGAUAUCUACAUGAUGUGGUGUUUCCUUAUGAUUCUGUUUUUCCGUUGAAUACAUUUAGUUCUAAUCAGAAUUACAAUAGAUUUGUUGUAGGGUCUAAGAGUCUUUUAGUAGAGUACCGAGAUUUUUAAAAAAGUGUCUUCUACCCAUGAAUAGUCUCCUUCAAACAAGUGAAAGUGCCAAUGAUCUACGUUUUACGAGUUCAUUCUUUUAUACAUAUCAUUACACAUAGUUUUUCCAGAUGGGCUCUUCCACUUGCCACUUGAUAUCAGAAUUUAAAGUGGAAGGCCUUUUUUACUGCUAUGUUGGAUCUCAAGGAAUACUAAGAUAUAAUAGACAUGAUGUAGUUAUGACCAUCUACCUUUUAUAAAAUACUGCUGCCCCUUUUUUAAUGGUAGAUUUCUUUUGUUUAGAAAUGGAAAUACUGCUUAGGUCAUCCUAUGGACCCGCUACGUUUUCUUUGCUCUACAUGUUUGGUUUCUUCUCAAAUUUAUUUUAUACUGUCACAUUGUUCAGUCAAGGAACAACUCGAGCAACAUGUACAUAUUUCAGGCAAUGGAACCUGUGAUGGCUUGCUAAGAGCUGGAGAAAAGCAUUUAUAGUGUCCCUUACAGGUGGAUGUAUGCUUGUAUUUCUGCUUGGAUACUGUAUGAAGAAACUUAAAAAUGUAUAUUCAAAUUUGGUGCACCAUAUUUCUUUUUAUUGUGCCAUACUUUGUCCAUGACAGCAAGUAUGAUUUGUGUCGCAGACGUUGAGAAAAUCCUCUUGACCCACUAAAUAUCCAUGGCUACUGAUCUGGUGAAACUAAUAUUGGUAGCAAGUUGAACUGUACUUCAUGGAUGACAAGAUGUAGUUAUGUCGCUUCACGUUGUAUGAUAAUAUCAUUUGCCCAUUUCACUUCCAAACUAAAAUCGCUGAUUAUAAGUUAAUUGGUUCAUUCCCAAUUAUGUGCUCUCUUCCCAUCUGUUAUUUAGAUUAUGUGCCUUUUAAUUUGAAUCCUCUCUGAUGUGUGCAGACAUGAAAUAUUUUCAAUUGCUUUUCAGUUCUGAAAUUAGCUCCUCUCUUCAUGUAUUGCCGUGGGACUAAUCAAGGACCUGAUCAUCGAAGGUGGCGGUAAGGCGUGUGAGCAAUUAAUUAUCAGGUGUUAGCUUGGAAAGGCAUAUGCAAGUGUUGUCUUUGGGAGCCUUGAAUUCCUGCAAGUUCAUUUCCAACAACAAAUGUAGAUUUUGAUUCCUAAAUAUAAUAAGAAACUGAAUCUGUAUUACAUUUUCGUUCAGUAAUAUGUGACUAUCUGUGCCAGUUUUGUACAUAUUAGAAAAAAAACUACAAUCAAGACAAAUUUAAACACAUGUUAUCUGAUUCUUUAUGAAUAUUUGAAAUAGGGUUUUAUCAUCGAUUUGUACAAAUGCUAACACGGAGGUUUGUUAAUUCUGGAGCUUUUGUAAUUCUCAAAAUAUAUUGCUUUAGUGAAAUUUUUAGUGCAGUU
Non-coding RNA from Lolium perenne, 5658 nucleotides. Lineage: Eukaryota; Viridiplantae; Streptophyta; Magnoliopsida; Poales; Poaceae. The record is from RefSeq and is a predicted model, not a curated record.